RNAcentral lists this ribosomal RNA (858 nucleotides) under uncultured bacterium. Its description in RNAcentral is "bacterial SSU rRNA". It matches the Rfam family "Bacterial small subunit ribosomal RNA", at positions 9 to 843 of the family's 1533-position model. The record is from RNAcentral.
GAGUUUGAUCCUGGCUCAGAAUCAACGCUGGCGGCGUGCCUCAGACAUGCAAGUCGAACGCGAAAGUCCCCUUCGGGGGACAAGUAGAGUGGCGCACGGGUGAGUAACACGUAGGUAAUCUACCUUCGGAUGGGGAAUAACAACCGGAAACGGUUGCUAAUACCGCAUAAUGCAGCGGCACCUAAUGGUGACAGUUGUUAAAGCGGGGGAUCGUAAGACCUCGCGUCUGAAGAGGAGCCUGCGGCGGAUUAGCUAGUUGGUAAGGUAACGGCUUACCAAGGCGACGAUCCGUAGCCGGCCUGAGAGGGCGGUCGGCCACACUGACACUGACAUACGGGUCAGACUCCUACGGGAGGCAGCAGUCGGGAAUUUUGGGCAAUGGGCGAAAGCCUGACCCAGCAACGCCGCGUGAAGGAUGAAAUCCCUCGGGAUGUAAACUUCGCAAGAACGGGAAGAAUAAGUCUGCGCGAAUAUCGCAGACGAUGACGGUACCGUUUGUAAGCUCCGGCUAACUCCGUGCCAGCAGCCGCGGUAAUACGGGGGGAGCAAGCGUUGUUCGGAUUUACUGGGCGUAAAGGGCGCGUAGGCGGCCAGCACAAGUCAGUUGUGAAAUCUCCGAGCUUAACGCGGAAAGGUCAACUGAUACUGUGCGGCUAGAGUGCAAAAGGGGCAACUGGAAUUCUCGGUGUAGCGGUGAAAUGCGUAGAUAUCGAGAGGAACACCUGCGGCGAAGGCGGGUUGCUGGGCUGACACUGACGCUGAGGCGCGAAAGCUAGGGGAGCGAACGGGAUUAGAUACCCCGGUAGUCCUAGCCUUUAACGAUGAAUGCUUGGUGUCUGGGGGUAUAUAGUCCCCGGG